CCUACGGGGGGCAGCAGUGGGGAAUAUUGGACAAUGGGGGGAACCCUGAUCCAGCCAUGCCGCGUGUGUGAAGAAGGCCCUCGGGGUGUAAAGCACUUUCAGUGAGGAAGAACGCCUGGUGGUUAAUACCCAUCAGGAAAGACAUCACUCACAGAAGAAGCACCGGCUAACUCCGUGCCAGCAGCCGCGGUAAUACGGAGGGUGCGAGCGUUAAUCGGAAUUACUGGGCGUAAAGCGCGCGUAGGUGGCUUGAUAAGCCGGGUGUGAAAGCCCCGGGCUCAACCUGGGAACGGCAUCCGGAACUGUCAAGCUAGAGUGCAGGAGAGGAAGGUAGAAUUCCCGGUGUAGCGGUGAAAUGCGUAGAGAUCGGGAGGAAUACCAGUGGCGAAGGCGGCCUUCUGGACUGACACUGACACUGAGGUGCGAAAGCGUGGGUAGCAAACAGGAUUAGAUACCCCUGUAGUC
This 465-nucleotide ribosomal RNA is filed under the name Vreelandella stevensii. RNAcentral's name for it is "partial 16S ribosomal RNA". It matches the Rfam family "Bacterial small subunit ribosomal RNA", at positions 338 to 795 of the family's 1533-position model. Lineage: Bacteria; Pseudomonadati; Pseudomonadota; Gammaproteobacteria; Oceanospirillales; Halomonadaceae. The record is from RNAcentral.